GGGCGGGAACUAUAAUGCAGUCGAGCGAAUGGAUUAAGAGCUUGCUCUUAUGAAGUUAGCGGCGGACGGGUGAGUAACACGUGGGUAACCUGCCCAUAAGACUGGGAUAACUCCGGGAAACCGGGGCUAAUACCGGAUAACAUUUUGAACCGCAUGGUUCGAAAUUGAAAGGCGGCUUCGGCUGUCACUUAUGGAUGGACCCGCGUCGCAUUAGCUAGUUGGUGAGGUAACGGCUCACCAAGGCAACGAUGCGUAGCCGACCUGAGAGGGUGAUCGGCCACACUGGGACUGAGACACGGCCCAGACUCCUACGGGAGGCAGCAGUAGGGAAUCUUCCGCAAUGGACGAAAGUCUGACGGAGCAACGCCGCGUGAGUGAUGAAGGCUUUCGGGUCGUAAAACUCUGUUGUUAGGGAAGAACAAGUGCUAGUUGAAUAAGCUGGCACCUUGACGGUACCUAACCAGAAAGCCACGGCUAACUACGUGCCAGCAGCCGCGGUAAUACGUAGGUGGCAAGCGUUAUCCGGAAUUAUUGGGCGUAAAGCGCGCGCAGGUGGUUUCUUAAGUCUGAUGUGAAAGCCCACGGCUCAACCGUGGAGGGUCAUUGGAAACUGGGAGACUUGAGUGCAGAAGAGGAAAGUGGAAUUCCAUGUGUAGCGGUGAAAUGCGUAGAGAUAUGGAGGAACACCAGUGGCGAAGGCGACUUUCUGGUCUGUAACUGACACUGAGGCGCGAAAGCGUGGGGAGCAAACAGGAUUAGU
RNAcentral lists this ribosomal RNA (760 nucleotides) under Bacillus cereus. Its description in RNAcentral is "bacterial SSU rRNA". It matches the Rfam family "Bacterial small subunit ribosomal RNA", at positions 40 to 782 of the family's 1533-position model. The record is from RNAcentral. Lineage: Bacteria; Bacillati; Bacillota; Bacilli; Caryophanales; Bacillaceae.